This 508-nucleotide ribosomal RNA is filed under the name uncultured bacterium. RNAcentral's name for it is "partial 16S ribosomal RNA". It matches the Rfam family "Bacterial small subunit ribosomal RNA", at positions 28 to 523 of the family's 1533-position model. The record is from RNAcentral.
GAUGAACGCUAGCUACAGGCUUAACACAUGCAAGUCGAGGGGAAACGAUAUUGGAAGCUUGCUUCCGAUAGGCGUCGACCGGCGCACGGGUGAGUAGCGCGUAUCCAACCUGCCCACCACUUGGGAAUAACCUUGCGAAAGUAAGACUAAUGCCCAAUGAUAUCUCUAGAAGACAUCUGAAAGAGAUUAAAGAUUUAUCGGUGAUGGAUGGGGAUGCGUCUGAUUAGCUUGUUGGCGGGGUAACGGCCCACCAAGGCGACGAUCAGUAGGGGUUCUGAGAGGAAGGUCCCCCACAUUGGAACGGAGACACGGUCCAAACUCCUACGGGAGGCAGCAGUGAGGAAUAUUGGUCAAUGGGCGAGAGCCUGAACCAGCCAAGUAGCGUGCAGGAUGACGGCCCUAUGGGUUGUAAACUGCUUUUAUAAGGGAAUAAAGUGAGCCUCGUGAGGCUUUUUGCAUGUACCUUAUGAAUAAGGACCGGCUAAUUCCGUGCCAGCAGCCGCCGUAA